This 432-nucleotide ribosomal RNA is filed under the name uncultured bacterium. RNAcentral's name for it is "partial 16S ribosomal RNA". It matches the Rfam family "Bacterial small subunit ribosomal RNA", at positions 29 to 506 of the family's 1533-position model. The record is from RNAcentral.
AACGAACGCUGGCGGCAUGCCUAACACAUGCAAGUCGAACGAGACCUUCGGGCCUAGUGGCGCACGGGUGCGUAACGCGUGGGAACAUGCCCUUAGGUUCGGAAUAACUCCCCGAAAGGGGUGCUAAUACCGGAUAAUGUCUUCGGACCAAAGAUUUAUCGCCUUUGGAUGGGCCCGCGUUGGAUUAGCUAGUUGGUAGGGUAAAAGCCUACCAAGGCGACGAGCCAUGGCUGGUCUGAGAGGAUGAUCAGCCACACUGGGACUGAGACACGGCCCAGACUCCUACGGGAGGCAGCAGUGGGGAAUAUUGGACAGUGGGCGAAAGCCUGAGCCAGCAAUGCCGCGUGAGUGAUGAAGGCCUUAGGGUUGUAAAGCUCUUUUACCCGGGAUGAUAAUGACAGUACCGGGAGAAUAAGCUCCGGCUAACUCCGU